Molecule: long non-coding RNA, 699 nt
Filed under: Junco hyemalis (dark-eyed junco)
Lineage: Eukaryota; Metazoa; Chordata; Aves; Passeriformes; Passerellidae
Description: lncRNA (ENSJHYG00000005073.1)
Source: RNAcentral
UAUUUUCAGACACAUUCCUUUUUUUCUUCUACCUCUGUCUCUUCCAGGAUUAUUCAUAGAAGCAGUCAUGACCAGGCUUUCCCAGCCAAAAUGAGCAGAAGGGGGAUUUUGUUUCUAUGGAGAGAUCCAGAGCAAGAGGAGUCAUGGUCCAAAAUAGGAUCUCCACCAUGAAUGUACAUUAUGGGCAAUGUACAGGGAAAAGGGACAGCAGCUCAAACUACUUAUGUGUCGUGAUAAAUGAUUGGCCAGUGUCUCAAAGUGACCUGAAAAAUUACACAGGCUGGACUGGCCAGACUUUCUGAACUGCUGAGUCUGUUUUGUUUGGGCACAUGAUUCAGACCCAGAAAUGAGAAACAACAAGAGGAAGAUCCCAGACCUGCGACGGUUUUGACUUCUGCAAUCCUUUGCUCUCUGCAAGUUGUAAGACAUGUGGGAAUUGUGGCUGCCAGCAGCUGAUGCUCUGUUUUACCCAUCCAACGCAGUAAACCAGUUUGUUUUUCUGUUUGUUGAAAUCCUAUCUGCCCAAACUUCUGAGAGAUGUUUUUAAAGGAUUUUAACAAAGGCCUUUUGCAUGGGAGUCAUUUUGUAUUUUGUGGGCAUCAUCUCAUACAGAGGUAUUUUCUUGAUUAAGUGUAAGUUUUAUUAAGCUCUCUCACUAAAGGAUAUUCCUUCUUCUUCCCCACAUUUCUUUUGCAGUAU